RNAcentral lists this ribosomal RNA (334 nucleotides) under Staphylococcus pseudintermedius. Its description in RNAcentral is "partial 23S ribosomal RNA". It matches the Rfam family "Bacterial large subunit ribosomal RNA", at positions 1 to 336 of the family's 2925-position model. Lineage: Bacteria; Bacillati; Bacillota; Bacilli; Caryophanales; Staphylococcaceae. The record is from RNAcentral.
UAUUAAGGGCGCACGGUGGAUGCCUUGGCACUAGAAGCCGAUGAAGGACGUUACUAACGACGAUAUGCUUUGGGGAGCUGUAAGUAAGCUUUGAUCCAGAGAUUUCCGAAUGGGGAAACCCAGCACGAGUUAUGUCGUGUUAUCUGCAUGUGAAUACAUAGCAUGCAAGAAGGCAGACCCGGAGAACUGAAACAUCUUAGUACCCGGAGGAAGAGAAAGAAAAAUCGAUUCCCUGAGUAGCGGCGAGCGAAACGGGAAGAGCCCAAACCAAUAAGCUUGCUUAUUGGGGUUGUAGGACACUCUGUACGGAGUUACAAAAGAAUUUGUUAGACGA